AGGUACAACAGAGACAGCUGUUUGUCCCCCAGUAUCCUUCAGACAAAGCCAUAUAUGAUUGAAGGUUAUCAGUACUGUGCUUUUGGAGGAUUCAGAAGAAGUUAUAUCUGAUUGGGAGAUUGAAAAGGAUUGGCCUGAAGGAGAGGUGGUUUUUGAACUGCAUCUUAAAGGAUGAGGAAACUGAGGCUGAGAGGGUAGAGAACUUUGCCUGAGGUCACUCAGCAGGGACCCACCCAUCACAGUAAAUGCCAGCACUGCUGAUGCCAAAACAAUGUUAUUUGUAGGCCCUCGGAAUUUGUGACCUGAAGGAAGAAGAGCAGGGCCGUGGGAAGUAUGUAACCAGUGUCAUGCCCCUGGUCCCAAGGAAGCAGUGGCUUGGUAAAGAGGGGACCCCCGUCAAUAACUCCCUGUAAUUACUGGGCACCCACUCUGAGCUCCUCAGUGGAAUCCUAAGGUUAAUAAGACUGUCUCUAGCCACUGGGGCUCCCAGCCUGGAGUGAGGUAAGAGGAGUGGAGCCGGCUGGGGAGGGAGACGAACACAUACACAGAAGAUUCAGACACACUUGCAAUGUAUUGCUGGGGAUUCUCCAGCAUUGGCAUGAUGGAGAGGGUGGAGAAUCAUUUGACCGCCUCCGCCUAGGAUUGCAGAGUUCAGCUGGCCAUCAUCCACCAGCCGGGGGACUGUGCACAUCAGUUAACCUCUCCUCUCAGGCCUUGAAAAGCACCAGGCUUAGUACACGUUUGUUAAAUGAAUGCACUGCAGUUUUUUUGCUUGUUAAAGGCAGGUAAUAAUAAUGAUAUUGCUGACUAAGGGCUCCCAUCCACUCCCAGUGAGCCCGGUGCCCCCCCGGGCCUCCUCAGUGAGCUGAGGAGGCUCAGCAGUGCCUGCACGUCCCCUCGCCACAAUGUCAUGUGCCACCUCUUCAAAGGAGGGAUGUACCAGCUAGUGGACGUGACCUUGACUGCAAAGGGCGGCACGCAGCUGAUGUAAUGGUCGCUUAAGUGUUCACAAAUGCCUGAACACCCUGUCCUACCUGGUCCUACCUGGAUGCUGGCCUCAGUAAGCUCCUGGGCUCAUUGAAGAUGAACCUAGCAGUAGUAUUUACACCACUUGUUGUGUGCCCACUGUGGGCCCGGCGCCAUGCCGAGUGCUCUAUGGAUGUGAGAUGAGAACACUGAAGCAGUUUUUUCUAAAGAUAGCUGCCUGGCACAGUGGCUCACAUCUGUAGUCCCAGCAUUUGGGGAGGCCAAGGCAGGUGGAUCACUUGAGGCCAGGAAUUCAAGACCAGCAUGGCCAACAUGUGCUGGGAGAGAAAAGCAUACGACAUAGACAGGGAGGUCAAGCUCCACCACGCAGAUGAGGUGCAGGCCACCAGUCUUCCUCUGCCACAUCUCUUUCUGAAAAGAGCUCGCCGCAAGUUGUAUAAGCUUCAGGAACCACACAACCCGAACCCACCUCUGCAUAGCCAGGCUCUUCCUUGCCAGGCACUUCUCUUGAAGGAACAUUGAGGUUUGAACCAGAAGAGCUGGAUUUGAGCCACAGCUUUGUACGGACUAGCUAUGUGACUUUGGAAAUAAUAACAACAGCUGACAUUUAUCAAGCUUUACUACAUGUCAGUCACUGUGCUAAGCUUUUGCAUGCUUCAUUGCGUGUAAAAUUCAGAAAUGCCUUUCGACCUCUCAAA
Homo sapiens (human) is the source of this 1685-nucleotide long non-coding RNA. Ensembl annotates it as long intergenic non-protein coding RNA 2395. NCBI's taxonomy places the organism in Eukaryota, Metazoa, Chordata, Mammalia, Primates, Hominidae. The record is from Ensembl.